AUUGAACGCUGGCGGCAGGCCUAACACAUGCAAGUCGAACGGUAACAGGAAGAAGCUUGCUUCUUUGCUGACGAGUGGCGGACGGGUGAGUAAUGUCUGGGAAACUGCCUGAUGGAGGGGGAUAACUACUGGAUACGGUAGCUAAUACCGCAUAACGUCGCAAGACCAAAAAGGGGGACCUUCGGGCCUCUUGCCAUCGGACGUGCCCAGUUGGGAUUAGCUAGUAGGUGGGGUAACGGCUCACCUAGGCGACGAUCCCUAGCUGGUCUGAGAGGAUGACCAGCCACACUGGAACUGAGACACGGUCCAGACUCCUACGGGAGGCAGCAGUGGGGAAUAUUGCACAAUGGGCGCAAGCCUGAUGCAGCCAUGCCGCGUGUAUGAAGAAGGCCUUCGGGUUGUAAAGUACUUUCAGCGGGGAGGAAGGGAGUAAAGUUAAUACCUUUGCUCAUUGACGUUACCCGCAGAAGAAGCACCGGCUAACUCCGUG
RNAcentral lists this ribosomal RNA (490 nucleotides) under uncultured bacterium. Its description in RNAcentral is "partial 16S ribosomal RNA". It matches the Rfam family "Bacterial small subunit ribosomal RNA", at positions 30 to 507 of the family's 1533-position model. The record is from RNAcentral.